This 208-nucleotide long non-coding RNA is filed under the name Prunus dulcis (almond). Its description in RNAcentral is "sRNA ncRNA". Lineage: Eukaryota; Viridiplantae; Streptophyta; Magnoliopsida; Rosales; Rosaceae. The record is from RNAcentral.
CCAGACCUUUUAAUACAAUGGGGCAGGAAAUGUCGUGGAAUCCCUUGCUCUUCAAGGAUUUUAACAGCAACUUACAUCAACUAAACAAAAUCUAUGUGCUCCCAUACAAAGCAGACUAAAGAGUCCCACGCAGACGGGGAUAUCGACUGAUCAGAUUUCAGGGCCAUGCCAUCAAGUUAUUAAUUAAAACACAACUUGAGAAUUCAAU